CUGCAACAACAGAAACAUCUACAAGUGCUGCGACGACCACGUCAGAAAUGACCACAACUACUCCAGUGGCUGAAACGACAGCAGUCACAGCUACGACAGCAGCGACUUCCACCGGAGUACCAACUACAACAGCUACAACAGAAACAUCAACAAGUGCUGCAACGACGAUGUCUGAAACAACCUCUACCACUGCAGUGGCAGGAACAACGACGGCAGUCACAGCUACUACAGCAGCAACUUCCACAGAAGCACCAAGUACAACUGCAACAACAGAAACAUCUACAAGUGCUGCGACGACCACGUCAGAAAUGACCACAACUACUCCAGUGGCUGAAACGACAGCAGUCACAUCUACGACAGCAGCGACUUCCACAGGAGUUCCAACUACAACAGCUACAACAGAAACAUCAACAAGUGCUGCAACGACGAUGUCUGAAACAACCUCUACCACUGCAGUGGCAGGAACAACGACGGCAGUCACAGCUACUACAGCAGCAACUUCCACAGAAGCACCAAGUACAACUGCAACAACAGAAACAUCUACAAGUGCUGCGACGACCACGUCAGAAAUGACCACAACUACUCCAGUGGCUGAAACGACAGCAGUCACAUCUACGACAGCAGCGACUUCCACAGGAGUACCAACUACAACAGCUACAACAGAAACAUCAACAAGUGCUGCAACGACGAUGUCUGAAACAACCUCUACCACUGCAGUGGCAGGAACAACGACGGCAGUCACAGCUACUACAGCAGCAACUUCCACAGAAGCACCAAGUACAACUGCAACAACAGAAACAUCUACAAGUGCUGCGACGACCACGUCAGAAAUGACCACAACUACUCCAGUGGCUGAAACGACAGCAGUCACAUCUACGACAGCAGCGACUUCCACAGGAGUACCAACUACAACAGCUACAACAGAAACAUCAACAAGUGCUGCAACGACGAUGUCUGAAACAACCUCUACCACUGCAGUGGCAGGAACAACGACGGAAGUCACAGCUACUACAGCAGCAACUUCCACAGAAGCACCAAGUACAACUGCAACAACAGUCACAGCUACUACAGCAGCAACUUCCACAGAAGCACCAAGUACAACUGCAACAACAGAAACAUCUACAAGUGCUGCGACGACCACGUCAGAAAUGACCACAACUACUCCAGUGGCUGAAACGACAGCAGUCACAGCUACUACAGCAGCGACUUCCCCAGAAGUACCAACUACAACAGCUACAACAGAGACAUCAACAAGUGCUGCAACGACGAUGUCUGAAACAAACACAUCCACUGCACUGGCUGAAACGACAGAAGUCACAACUACGACAACCGCAACUUCCAUAGAAGUACCAACUACAACAGCUACAAUAGAAACAUCAACAAGUGCUGCAACAAUGAUGUCUGAAACAACCACAUCCACUCCACUGGCAGAAACAACAGAAGUCACAACUACGACAGCAGCUACUUCCACAGAAGCAUCAAGUACAACAGCUACAACAGAAACAUCAACAAGUGCUGCGACGACCACGUCAGAAAUAACCACAACAACUCCAGUGGCUGAAACGACAGCAGUCACAGCAACUACAGCAGCAACUUCCCCAGAAGUACCAACUACAACAGCUACAACAGAAACAUCAACAAGUGCUGCAACGACGAUGUCUGAAACAACCACAUCCACUCCACUGGCAGAAACGACAGAAGUCACAACUACGACAGCAGCAACUUCAACAGAAGCACCAAGUACAACUGCAACAACAGAAACAUCUACAAGUGCUGUGACGACCACGUCUGAAAUGACCGCAAGUACUCCAGUGGCUGAAACGACAGCAGUCAAAGCUACUACAGCAGCUACUUCCACAGAAGCACCAAGUACAACUGCAACAACAGAAACAUCUACAAGUGCUGCGACGACCACGUCUGAAAUGACCGCAAGUACUCCAGUGGCUGAAACGACAGCAGUCACAGCUACUACAGCAGCGACUUCCCCAGAAGUACCAACUACAACAGCUACAACAGAGACAUCAACAAGUGCUGCAACGACGAUGUCUGAAACAAACACAUCCACUCCACUGGCUGAAACGACAGAAGUCACAACUACGACAACAGCAACUUCCACAGAAGUACCAACUACAACAGCUACAACAGAAACAUCAACAAGUGCUGCAACGACGACGUCUGAAACAACCACAUCCACUCCACUGGCAGAAACCACAGAAGUCACCACUACGACAGCAGCAACUUCCACAGAAGCACCAAGUACAACUGCAACAACAGAAACAUCUACAAGUGCUGCAACAACGAUGUCUGAAACAAACACAUCCACUCCACUGGCAGAAACGACAGAAGUCACAACUACGACAGCAGCUACUUCCACAGAAGCACCAAGUACAUCUGCAACAACAGAGACAUCUCAAAGUGCUGCGACGACCACGUCUGAAAUGACCGCAAGUACUCCAGUGGCUGAAACGACAGCAGUCAAAGCUACUACAGCAGCUACUUCCACAGAAGCACCAAGUACAACAGCUACAACAGAAACAUCAACAAGUGCUGCAACGACGAUGUCUGAAACAACCACAUCCACUCCACUGGCAGAAACGACAGAAGUCACAACUACGACAGCAGCUACUUCCACAGAAGCACCAAGUACAACUGCAACAACAGAAACAUCUACAAGUGCUGCGACAACCACGUCUGAAAUGACCACAACAACUCCACUGGCUGAAACGACAGCAGUCACAGCUACGACAGCAGCGACUUCCACAGAAGUACCAACUACAACAGCUACAACAGAAACAUCAACAAGUGCUGCAACGACGAUCUCUGAAACAACCUCUACCACUGCAGUGGCAGGAACAACGACGGAAGUCACAAGUACGACAGCAGCAACUUCCACAGAAGCACCAAGUACAACUGCAACAACAGAAACAUCUACAAGUGCUGCGACGACCACGUCUGAAAUGACCACAAGUACUCCAGUGGCUGAAACGACAGCAGUCAUAGCUACUGCUGCAGCCAGUUCUACAGAUGCAGCCACUACAACUGGAACAACAGAAACAUCUACUACAAGUUUUGCGACAACCACAUCUGAAGCAACCACUACUAUUCCAGUGGCAGAAACUAGGACAGAAGUCCGAACUACUACAGCAGCUAUUUUCUCAGAAGCACAAAUUACAACAGCAACAACAGAGACAUCUAGACGUCCUGCAACGACCACAUCUGAAACAACCUCUACUACUGCAGUAGCAGGAACAGCGACAGAAGUCACAAGUACGACAGCAGCAUCUUCCACAGAAGCACCAAGUACAACAGCUACAACAGAAACAUCAACAAGUGCUGUGACGACCACGUCUGAAAUGACCGCAACUACUCCAGUGGCUGAAACGACAGCAGUCACAGCUACUACAGCAGCGACUUCCGCAGAAGUACCAACUACAACAGCUACAACAGAAACAUCAACAAGUGCUGCAACGACGAUGUCUGAAACAACCACAUCCACUCCACUGGCAGAAACGACAGUAGUCACAACUACGACAGCAGCUACUUCCACAGGAGUACCAACUACAACAGCAACAACAGAAACAUCAACAAGUGCUGCAAUGGCCACAUCUGAUACAACCACUACUACUCCACUGGUUGAGAUGACAGAAGUCACAGCAAGGACUACAGCACCUACUUCCACAGAACCAGGAACUAGAUCAGCAACAACAGAAACUUCUACAGGAGGACCAAGUACAACAUCAACCACAGUAACAUCUACAAGUGCUGCAACGACCACAUCUGCAACAACCACAACUCCAGUGACAGAAACAACGACAGAAUUCACAACUACUACUGCAGCUACUUCCACAGAAGCACCGACUACAACAGCAACAACAGAAACAUCUUCAAGUGCUGCAGCGACCACGCCUGAAAUGACCACAACAACUCCAGUGGCUGAAACGACAGCAGUCACAUCUACUACAGCAGCGACUUCCACAGGAGUUCCAACUACAACAGCUACAACAGAAACAUCAACAAGUGCUGUGACGACGAUGUCUGGAACAACCUCUACCACUGCUGCGGUAGGAUCGACGACAGAAGUCAGAUCAUCAACAGCAGCUGGAAUGAUUAAUACAAAUUCUACAACAAUAACAACACUUCAGACUCACACCACCACAUCAACACCUGCAACAAGGCAAACCUUGGCUGUUACUCCCCCGACAACUCCUCAUACAGUCAUUGGAAUAGCACGUUUAAACAUCCGCUUUCUGUUCAUCACCAUAAAAGUCCCUAGUGAAACUGAAAUCCUCAACAUUGCUAAUAAGAUCUUGGGUCCUCGUGUUAGAUCUGAAAAUAUAAAACUGAACGAUCCAGUGCAGAUUAAGAAUAUCACAUAUGAAAAAUUGUCAAACACCUCCUUUGCCUUGGACUUGGGCUAUGAGAUUACUAAUGUGAAUAUGAGUGAGCAAUUCUCACAGAGAAACAAUACUUUUAUUCUCAUCCAAGAGAGUAUCAACAAACUGCUAAAUAAUAUUCUCAACAGUCCUAAUGGAACUCCAUUCACCUUUCCUCAAGCAAACUUUAUUAAUGAACAAAAUGUGAUUGAAGCAAAUAUGACCUACAUCUAUAAGGAAGGGGACAUCAACCAACCAAGCAACUUCCUAUCAGACAUCCUGAAAGCCAGUGGCUUGGAUGUUUCCACCACCACUACAGCACCAACUACCACCACUACAACUCCACCUACUACAACUAAAUUCAACCCCACCUUCCUGCUCACCACACCCCUGCAUGGGGCCUCCAGUGUAGUGGAAAGUGGGAAAUUUCCAGGCUGGGCUUUGGCCAUUAUCAUCCCCUGUGGUAUUGUUAUCAUCCUGAUUCCGCUCUGGAUCCUCCUCUGUUGCCUGUUGUGUGGCUGUUGUGCAGCCAUAAGGCGGCGCUGGAGACGACGGAGGUCUUACAAUGUGCAGUACACAACACGCAAUGGCCUCUUUUGAGAAGGUGAGGUGGAUGUUACUG
This is a long non-coding RNA of Scleropages formosus (Asian bonytongue), 4995 nucleotides long. Lineage: Eukaryota; Metazoa; Chordata; Actinopteri; Osteoglossiformes; Osteoglossidae. The record is from Ensembl.